This 675-nucleotide long non-coding RNA is filed under the name Sus scrofa (pig). Its description in RNAcentral is "lncRNA (ENSSSCG00005006194.1)". The record is from RNAcentral. Lineage: Eukaryota; Metazoa; Chordata; Mammalia; Artiodactyla; Suidae.
AGGGCUCUGGCUCAGGUCUCUCCUUUCUAGUUCUCUCUUCAGUGCCCAGUGAAUUUAAAGCUCUUGGAAUAAAAAAGGAGGGAAGGUCAGAAGAAUUUCACAGCCCCUUGGUGAAUAGUAGACGAGGUGCAGAGAAAUCUGGAUACAAAAAUCUAGUACAGUCUUAUCUUGGGGGUCUGGUGGAUAUGCAGAAGACAAUUUCACCUUGUCACCCAAAAAUUAACCAGUGAGCAAAGAGGGCUCCUGACCAAGCAUCUGAAAUAAUCGGUAAGGCUGGCUGAGGAGUGUGUGAUGUGGUGACACUAUGUAUGUAGAGUAGAGGUGAUAGGAAGUGGCCGGGGGCACAGGAUGCAUGCAGAAGAGGGAGCUCAGUGUGGGGAGCUUCUACCCGACGGAGGUGAGUUGGAGGAAAUGAAAAAGUACUGUGAAACCUAGGAGGAGAUAAAUACUUAAGCGCUGUGCAGAGCAAGAUGGCAAGAGAGGGUAGUGAGACAGAAGACACAUCAAGUCAGAAGAGGUAGAGACACACAUGCAGAGAUUGAGAGAACAAAGAAAUAUGAGCCACAAGAGAACCAAGUCAGAGAAAUGGGGAGAGAUGGCUGGAAGGUGAAAAAAAGAAUGAGCAGUUAGUAAGUAGAGAGCAGGAUGAGCAAAGCUGUCCACUCUGCCUGUCUG